UGGAAGAGGAAAGUCAAAACAUAGGGGAGAGAAAACAGGGGGGCGUUCUCUUCGCAAAAGGAGGGAGGAGGAAUCGGAUAAAAAUUAGCACCUAAGAGCUAAAGGGGCAAGAAAAACACAAAAGGAGGAGCCGAGCUUUCUCUUUUUCCUAACCACACACGCAUCUUCUUCCCUUCUCAUUUUUCACCAUUAAUGUCAAAGCCCACAAUUAAGCUCGUCAUCUUCACACAAAAUUAGUAGCUUUCUUCUACUCCCCUUAUUCACCAGCUACUGGUUUCAACCACAAAAAACAGUCAAACAACCUCUCAAACCGAGUAAAAAACCAGCAGGAAAAACCCAAUUUUUGGUAUUUCAAAUUUGAGCGAAAAAUAGUACAAAAAAAAGGGGUCUCCGGUGGGAUCACGUUUGAGUUCCGACGGCUUGUCUUUGUUUGAGUCCAUACGGCAUCGAUAUUAGCUGUUGUAACUUCAUUGGAGGAGUUUGCUAAUAAAGGAAUAUUUGUUGUUGUUAAAGUGUGGGGUCCAUUCCAUGAAUGUGAAAGGAAGACAAACCUCCUUUGACAUAAAGUACCAUGCUGCCAAAUCUACAGGAAAUGUGAUUUGGGUUGGCAGAUUUUUUAUUGCUUUCACAAGGUGAAAGUUUGACAUUUAUAUUAUGAUAAUGUCAUCCAUGAUGCAAGCAAGGAGAAUUAGACGUCUAUAAAUAGAUAGCUCCUGAUUCAGUUGAAGAUACACAAAACAAAGAGAGAAAGAAAGAGUGAGGUUUCACAGACAAGGUAUUAG
Non-coding RNA from Nicotiana tabacum (common tobacco), 782 nucleotides. The record is from RefSeq and is a predicted model, not a curated record. NCBI's taxonomy places the organism in Eukaryota, Viridiplantae, Streptophyta, Magnoliopsida, Solanales, Solanaceae.